GGAUGGAUCACCUCCUUUCUAAGGAAAUGUAGAAUCAUCAUCUUCAGUUUUGAAAGACUUAGUUAAGUUUUUCUCAUUUAUUUUAUUUUUUUGAUAUCCUGGGCCUAUAGCUCAGUUGGUUAGAGCACACGCCUGAUAAGCGUGAGGUCGGUGGUUCAAGUCCAUUUAGGCCCACCAAACGUUUUUAUAAAAAACGUGUUAUCAAAAGAAAGUUCUUUGAAAAGUAGAUAAACAAGAAAAUAAUAUCCGUUUUUAAAGGAAGUAAGGGCGUACAGUGGAUGCCUUGGCACUAAGAGCCGAUGAAGGACGCAAUUAACGGCGAUACGCCAUGGGGAGUUGUAAAUAAAUGUAGAUCCAUGGAUUUCCGAAUGGGGCAACCUACUACAAUAAAAUUGUAGUUUUUUAGUAGUUUACUACUAGAAAGGGAAACGCAGUGAACUGAAAUAUCUAAGUAACUGCAGGAAAAGAAAGUAACAACGAUUCCGGUAGUAGUGACGAGCGAAUCCGGACCAGCCUGAUACGAAUCCUAGUUAUCAAAGAAAAAAAUAUCUGAAGUUUUUGGAAAAAAACACCCUAGAAGGUAAUAGUCCUGUAAGGAAAAUUUUUUUCUCUAGCGUAUCGAAAAGUACGGCGAGACACGAGAAAUCUUGUCGGAAGACGGGAGGACCAUCUCCCAAGGCUAAAUACUCCUUAGUGACCGAUAGUGAACAAGUACCGUGAGGGAAAGGCGAA
RNAcentral lists this unclassified non-coding RNA (732 nucleotides) under Pigeon pea witches'-broom phytoplasma. RNAcentral's name for it is "partial contains 16S ribosomal RNA, 16S-23S ribosomal RNA intergenic spacer, and 23S ribosomal RNA". The stretch from base 252 to 732 matches the Rfam family "Bacterial large subunit ribosomal RNA", at positions 1 to 518 of the family's 2925-position model. The record is from RNAcentral. Lineage: Bacteria; Bacillati; Mycoplasmatota; Mollicutes; Acholeplasmatales; Acholeplasmataceae.